Long non-coding RNA from Humulus lupulus (European hop), 334 nucleotides. RefSeq lists it as uncharacterized. The record is from RefSeq and is a predicted model, not a curated record. NCBI's taxonomy places the organism in Eukaryota, Viridiplantae, Streptophyta, Magnoliopsida, Rosales, Cannabaceae. The transcript has 2 exons.
GCAGGGUUUGUCGAGACAAAACAACAGCUCUUGUCUCUAAAAUCAAAUCAUCGUAUGAAUUGGAUCGACUUUACUGUUGCUCAUCAUUUAAACUCAAAGUAUAUUGAGAUGAUUUCUUUGGAGCAAUUUUUGACAACAUUUGUAGUUGAGGCCUUUAGAAUGGAAGAAUGUAUUUCACUAAUUUUUGUAUACAUUUCUUGUUUUGUAUUUAGUGAUAAAGGAAUCUGAAUUGGGCAUAAAUUAUGUUGUAAUAUGAUUUCUUAAGCCUAGAUUAGUAGACUAAAUAUUGUAAUUACAUUUGAGUAAUUAAUAAAAAUCUAUUUAUGUUACCUUA